This 1718-nucleotide long non-coding RNA is filed under the name Sus scrofa (pig). RNAcentral's name for it is "lncRNA (ENSSSCG00040046510.1)". Lineage: Eukaryota; Metazoa; Chordata; Mammalia; Artiodactyla; Suidae. The record is from RNAcentral.
CUAGAAACCGGCGGAGAUGGUGAAAGAAGCUGAAGAGACACACAGGAACAGCCCUGAUUUUGAAAGCAACAAGGAAGACAACUCACCAAUGUCUUUUAAGAAAGAGUUUCUCUUAAGACACAACACGGAGAAAGAAGUAGAAGGAUGCUCUUCACGUGACGUUCACCCCAGAGAGAGAUCUUUAUGGGCGGGUCUAAGCCGUCUUCCCUUCCGGCGCCUCCUGGGCCCUUUCCCUGCCGUCGAAGGACCCGAGGACUUGAGCUGCUGGCUCUCACAGAUGCAAGGCACACGGAACCAUCUGCUGUCAGGAUUGUUUAAAAACACACAGAGAUUGCACCGUCGCUGCACAGCUUCUCUCAAGAACCUUAGCAAGAAUCAGAAAGCGGUUUCAGUUCCUGAAAAAGAACCAAAUGACAUUCUAGAGGAAAAAAAUACACCUGUACUACUAGAAACCCCAAUGAAAAUAGAAGAUCAAAGAAAACCGUCAGGGGGACAACAGUCCCAAGAAGAGUCCUCACCAGGACAGCCGGAAGUACAACGUGACACCCAAGCAUCACUGGAACCGUCGUCCUUGGGACAGCCAUCCCAAGGACAGGCUGCUGACGGAGGUCCUCUGAACAGCCAUCCUGAGACAACCAUCCAUCCCCCAGACGGAUGCCCUGGGGAGGACACAAAGGACAGCGAAUACCCUGAAAACGAAGUAUCGGCCAUGGCGUGAAGCGCAACAGUCUGACGCUAGAAAGGAUCAUGAGGCAAAUUAAACGAAAAUUAGGCAUUUUUUCACAUGAUGCUGAAGAGGUGUGCUAGCAGAAUGUUACAAUUGUGAAUUUCAUAUUUUGGUGCCCAGACAUAAAGUUUCCAAACAAUAAGACCACAUGUAUCUGGAAUUUCUUCUUGGGUCCCUGAGUGCAAAGCUGGCAGGGAAGGGAGAGUCGCUGUGACGUUUAACGCGUGUCGCCACUUGGUCCAAAUGUUUGUUUCCUUCUUCUUAGAACAUCAGUCCAUGCCUGGACUGACGCAGCCCUCCUGAAAAUGAUCUGUGUUUUCAUAGGUAAGUGUAAUGAAACCUUCCUAUUCAGAGUGAGCUAAGCCUAUAAUUAUUAUGUUAAUGUGUAAAUACAUGCAUACACAGACAUACAGUAUACGUACCUGUACACGCACAUACAUGUCAGAAACAGACCAUCAGAACCCCAUGGAAUGGCACGUGGUUGGUGAGUAAGAAGAUGGACUCUGAAGUCAGAAGGUACAGUGAGGCUUCGCUCACUGGGUAUGUGAACUAGAUCUGCGCCUCAUCCAUAAACGGGAGCUAAUAAUGAUGCCUAACUCAUAGGUUGUUGGGAUAAUCGAGCGUGCCACUGCCUACCUUAAAGCCCUUUGCCAGUGCUGGACUCGGGGGGGACACUGAAAGAAGUUAACGACGUCCUUUUGGUUGUUGUCCUUUUUCCUUUAAAUGAGAGACGGUAAGCAGAUUAUGCUACCCAGAGCUUCUGCUAAGAUUCUUACCAGAUUUGACCCUUGUUAGGAGGGUCACCUGGGCUUCUCGGCUGUCCGAAUGCAGAUGGCGGCAAGGCUUGCAGGACCCUGAGGAUCCGGUUAUCAGCACACCCGUCCUUCCCCAUCUGUCAGUUGGUAGUACAGCGCUGGCGUGUGGAGGGAGAAGGGAAGGCUGUUAUUUCUUCAUAUUUGUGGUUUCUUGAUUUAUAGUUGGACCUGACCAU